ACCACCGCUACUACUAGUCGUAGCUAGCAACUUGCCAUGCCAGUUCCUAUCUAAGCUAGCCCUGCUCGUCGACAAAAUGAGCACAAUACUUUCUUCUAAUUUCUAAACUACGAGCAUUUUUGUUUUCUGCCUAUAUAUUCAUGAUAUUUGCAAGCAAUCAGUAACUCAAGUUUCUAGCUAGAGAGUGAGAGGGAGGAAGUCAUGAGGGGUUCUUCUAACAACAGUGCAAAUCAAGUUGAUGAAGCUGAUGGGGAAGAAUACACACAAGAUGGUACAUUGGAUCUUAAAGGAAACCCGUACUUAGAUCCAAAAGAGGUGGAUGGAAAGCUUGCUCCUUCGUUGUUGGAAUCACUCAACUAAGAAAGGAAUUAUCAAAAGUCAAGUGUAAAGUUGUAGUGUUAAGUCACUAGCAGUAACCACAUCGAGUCGGUUAUUGGCUUCUCCAUUUGUACGUGGUACCUAAUUCAAGCCUGCAGUGGAAACAGAACCAAAUACUAAAAAUUUUUUGGUAAGCGUAAGUGGGGUCAGUGGUAAGAAAGGAAAAGGUGAGAGCCGCGACUCCGCAAACUUUAUAAAUUUUCGCUUUAUUAUUACUAUUAUGGUACUAACGGUAAAUACCUGUAAAGCGAGAAAUUAUCGCAUCCAUAAAGGAUGAAAUACAUUUAAUUUAUGUUGUUCUAAUGAUCUCUAGAAAUUUUGAAAUAAUUCCACCAGAAGUUAGAAUAUCGUGUGGCAAUAUGGAUACAAAAAGCGCGCUCCGCUAGCCGGUCGGUCCCAGAAGUGACCCGUUACAAAGUGCUAGUCGGUUCCUAUCAGUGGUCCCUGAAGUGACCUGUAACUAAUAUUGAGGCAAUUUUUUUGCCACAAAAGACUAUAUCCAUGUGCACACUUAGAAAUUGAUAUUUCGUCAACGCGAAGUUAACGAAAAUGGAGAUUUGUUGUUUCUUUUAGUACCAUAUAUGUUUAUGUUUUCUUUAUUUUCAAGUUCUGUUUAUUUUAUUUA
This is a long non-coding RNA of Papaver somniferum (opium poppy), 1003 nucleotides long. RefSeq lists it as uncharacterized. The transcript has 2 exons. NCBI's taxonomy places the organism in Eukaryota, Viridiplantae, Streptophyta, Magnoliopsida, Ranunculales, Papaveraceae. The record is from RefSeq and is a predicted model, not a curated record.